GGUCGUGUUGGUCAUUAAUUGUGGUCGUUGUUAAUUAUUUUGGACAAUUAUAUGAAACGAACGUUUAGUGACAAUACUUUUAAACACUUUUAGUGAUAUCGGGUUAAUAAGAAGUAUUGCGAUUAUUGUGAUGAAAGUGUCGAUAAGCAUAACUUUUGCUGAAGAUGACAAAGUUGUGUGAGUGCAACCUUUCCAAAGAAGAAUCUAGAAGAAAGCCAUGUUGGUCUAAAGAUUGUGGGUUUUCAUGUUUGGCAUUAUUAGAAGCACCAGCAGGAAGGAGCACAUUAAACAAAAUUUAGCAAGAAAGUUAAGUCUUGCAGAUGUGGUCUUAACAUUGGACGAGAUAUUGUCCAUCAACAGUACCUUUGGAGAACCAUGGAAACGUAAUCGUGGAGGAUUUUUACGGCGACGUGGUAUUACAUU
Molecule: long non-coding RNA, 423 nt
Organism: Agrilus planipennis (emerald ash borer)
Lineage: Eukaryota; Metazoa; Arthropoda; Insecta; Coleoptera; Buprestidae
Exons: 3
Source: RefSeq, a predicted model, not a curated record